RNAcentral lists this transfer RNA (75 nucleotides) under Sphaerochaeta pleomorpha str. Grapes. RNAcentral describes it as "tRNA-Gly". It matches the Rfam family "tRNA". Rfam says of the family: Transfer RNA (tRNA) molecules are approximately 80 nucleotides in length. Their secondary structure includes four short double-helical elements and three loops (D, anti-codon, and T loops). Further hydrogen bonds mediate the characteristic L-shaped molecular structure. tRNAs have two regions of fundamental functional importance: the anti-codon, which is responsible for specific mRNA codon recognition, and the 3' end, to which the tRNAs corresponding amino acid is attached (by aminoacyl-tRNA synthetases). tRNAs cope with the degeneracy of the genetic code in two manners: having more than one tRNA (with a specific anti-codon) for a particular amino acid; and 'wobble' base-pairing, i.e. permitting non-standard base-pairing at the 3rd anti-codon position. The record is from RNAcentral. Lineage: Bacteria; Pseudomonadati; Spirochaetota; Spirochaetia; Spirochaetales; Sphaerochaetaceae.
GCGCCAGUCGCACAAUGGUUAGUGCUCGUGCUUCCCAAGCAUGUGACGAGGGUUCGAUUCCCUUCUGGCGCUCGA